GGCCCAGGACUCAAUGCUCCUGAUUAGGCAAGAGCUGGCAGCUGGUGGAGAGCUGAGUCCCUUUUCUAGAAGUAGAGUCCUACCUUUUCCUCCCCUCUCCCCUAGUGUAUCCUUUGCAGACCCUCGGACCUGGACACCGUUUGGUGCGCUUCUGUGGGCACAUUCCCCUACUGAUUCAUGCAUCUGUCAACUGAAGUAUCACGCCGCUGGUUGUAGGCCCUUUCAGCUGUGCUCUCUUCCUGAAGCCAUCUGUCGUGUCAACUAGUCAUGGAUAAAGAAGCCUCUGAGGUCAGUCCCAGCCCACCUACAGUGACCAUCAAGAAGAAAGAUAAAAGUGCAAGAUCCGAAAAGUUCUCCAAAAAUGUUCUGAUCUUUUUACUGGGGAGGCAGCUGGGGAGGCACAGGAGUGACGUGGACCUGUCAAAGUGGCUGUGGAUGCUGACAUGAGCUGCCCCAGGGUGGAGCUGGCCAUGGCCAGUGAGUCCUAAAACCUACCUGCUCAUGCCUGUCUGUAACUUUAGAAAAAAAUAAAAACAAGUAACAAACUCC
This 549-nucleotide long non-coding RNA is filed under the name Sus scrofa (pig). RNAcentral's name for it is "lncRNA (ENSSSCG00025030119.1, ENSSSCG00035003394.1, ENSSSCG00065033137.1)". Lineage: Eukaryota; Metazoa; Chordata; Mammalia; Artiodactyla; Suidae. The record is from RNAcentral.